AGUGAACGCUGGCGGUAGGCCUAACACAUGCAAGUCGAACGGCAGCACAGUAAGAGCUUGCUCUUACGGGUGGCGAGUGGCGGACGGGUGAGGAAUACAUCGGAAUCUACUUUUUCGUGGGGGAUAACGUAGGGAAACUUACGCUAAUACCGCAUACGACCUACGGGUGAAAGCAGGGGAUCUUCGGACCUUGCGCGAUUGAAUGAGCCGAUGUCGGAUUAGCUAGUUGGCGGGGUAAAGGCCCACCAAGGCGACGAUCCGUAGCUGGUCUGAGAGGAUGAUCAGCCACACUGGAACUGAGACACGGUCCAGACUCCUACGGGAGGCAGCGGUGGGGAAUAUUGGGCAAUGGGCGCAAGCCUGAUCCAGCCAUACCGCGUGGGUGAAGAAGGCCUUCGGGUUGUAAAGCCCUUUUGUUGGGAAAGAAAAGCAGCAGGUUAAUACCCCGCUGUUCUGACGGUACCCAAAGAAUAAGCACCGGCUAACUUCGUG
This 492-nucleotide ribosomal RNA is filed under the name uncultured bacterium. RNAcentral describes it as "partial 16S ribosomal RNA". It matches the Rfam family "Bacterial small subunit ribosomal RNA", at positions 29 to 507 of the family's 1533-position model. The record is from RNAcentral.